This 265-nucleotide ribosomal RNA is filed under the name uncultured archaeon. RNAcentral's name for it is "partial 16S ribosomal RNA". It matches the Rfam family "Archaeal small subunit ribosomal RNA", at positions 719 to 982 of the family's 1478-position model. The record is from RNAcentral.
ACACGACUACAUUAGAUACCCGUGUAGUCCUAGCCGUAAACGAUACUCGCUAGGUGUCGGCCACGGUGCGACCGUUGUCGGUGACGUAGGGAAGCCGUGAAGCGAGCCACCUGGGAAGUACGGCCGCAAGGCUGAAACUUAAAGGAAUUGGCGGGGGAGCACCACAACGGGUGGAGCUUGCGGUUUAAUUGGAUUCAACGCCGGAAAUCUUACCGGGACCGACAGCAACAUGAAGGCCAGGCUGAAGACUUUGCCGGAUUAGCUG